GAUGGAUUGAAGUUCAGUUUUAUUUCCUUUUCUGACUCAUUUAUUCUCUCCCAGGCAAAGUCAUUUGUACUCCAGCUACCUUCGAAAGGCAUGAUGCCCAGGCUAAGAAAAUUUUCCAAUCUUUUAAUGGGACUGCUGCAGAUGAAGAAAAACAUCACGUAUAGAAAACCAAUGAUCAAAAGUGACCACCCCUCUCUAGGACACUUAAAUACAAAGAGGAUCUCAGACAGUCAGGACGAUGUGAGGACUGGCCCACCCCAGCGAUUAUCCUCUAGAGAAGAGAGAGUCCAAGGAAGAGGAGAUGCCACCGUGUUAGAAUCACACCCCGGCUGUAGCUUGAAGUGCGGCCACAGAGCUGGGUGCAUCCACGUCUCCCGGCAUGUGUUCUAAGGAUGCAGAUUCCAGGGCCCCAGCUCCACUCCUGUCCAUCACGACCCAUGUGGGUGGACCCCCUCUAUGCUUCUAAAUGAGCACCCCUAAUGUUUGCCAAAGAGAAUUAAAGGCAGCUUAACUCAUUUCCCCACUUGUAAAAUGUUAUUUCUCCUAAAGUUUCAGAUGGCUCUGGACUGGGAAGCACCUUUAAUUGUUGAUGGCUUGUAGGAUGCUUGGCCUGGAGUGAGAGGAUGAGUGGGAGGAGAAGGAGACAGAUGAGAAUUUUUCCCCCAACUUUUCCACUCAAAAUUCUUAUUUUCAUGUUCUUCUUUUGCUUUUGGGGUUCCACACAGUAAAUGUGUCUUCUUGCUUUUCUUUCCAGAAUGUGCUUUCCUAUCCAUAUUCUCACUGACCCUAAAGCCCAUGCCACCCCUGGCAUAGACGAAACCCAGGUCCUGACCCUCAGAAACUGUCCAGCUCUGCCACUGUCUCAAGGACAGAACAGUGUAGAAACGGUUAUAAAUGUGUGGGGGGGCAGUUAAACCGAUUGCUUAACCGGAGUGGAUGUUCCCCGGGUGGAUGAGGAAGAUUUUGCAAAUCUGUGUGGUCUGAAAGGACAAGUUCCUGUAGAUUACAUCGGGUUUAUCUUGGCUCUGCCCAGAAGCGAUUUGGCUCUGAUAAGGAGACCUCUAGCAGAGUCUUUUUGGCUUCUGAGGAGUGGAAGAACUGUCAACCUGAUCCCUCAAGAGAAAGGGCCAUGUCUUAUGUGGCUCUAUGAUUUCCUUAAGAUCUUGGAAUAGUGCUUUCAUUUGUCCAAUAACGUUUAUUUAUUAAUUAAACAUCUGUUAAACCCUGGAGAGCUGCCAGACACUGUAGUAGGUGGUCAUAUGUUAGAAUAAAUAAGCGAUGGUCUCACUGUGGAUGACCUUU
This 1302-nucleotide long non-coding RNA is filed under the name Ursus maritimus (polar bear). RNAcentral's name for it is "lncRNA (ENSUMAG00000004058.1)". The record is from RNAcentral. Lineage: Eukaryota; Metazoa; Chordata; Mammalia; Carnivora; Ursidae.